GAGUCCGAAGGUGAACACCUGGCUUGAGACUUCCACGCGUUGAGAUUACCUGCAGACAACGGUUACCAUCUUACUGACACCGCUCUCCACCUAUAACUCUAGACUCUUCCGUCACUUGCAUGCAAACCAUCCUCAGAAACCACAGAUUACACCCAUUAAUCUCAUCUGCAUACACCCAAAACCAAAUCACCUUUCUUACCCACUUUUGUCAAGAAUGGAGAAACUAACCAUGGCAACGGGUUAGAAGCCACUGAAGUCCCCAUCUCCUUCUGUUGCUAGUGUAGAAGCUUGGGCUUCGGAAUUUAGACUGAGAUCAGUUCACUCCUAAGGUUUGGGAUUGGAAAAGAGUAGAGGAUUGGAGCUGGAGUUGAUCGAAAACUUUUGUCAGUUAAAAGGUGGAUUGUGCAAUAUAUAAAUCGAAGAAGAAGGAUUUUGGGUGAAGGCUCUUUGACUGGGUAUUGAUCGAAUUGAGGUUGGAUGUUGGAGUAGUGAUAGGUAGGGGGAGCUUGCUUCACAAAGGUGUUUCGGGCAGUUACCCGAGGAACGGAAGGUUCGUGACUCUCGAACUGCGUGAAAGAUAAGCAUCAGAAUCCAGGUAGGGGAUUCAGGACUCUCCUCAGUUAGUGAUUUUCUUAUAUUGUUAUUAAAUGAUGCAUGUUCGAUGGUAUGGUUUGGUUAUGUUCAAAUGCAAUGCAUACUAAUCAAACCAUGUGAGAAAUGUGAUGGCUUGAGAGCGAAGGGUGGCUCUGACUUCCUUGGGUUCGAUCCCCAAAACCUCCGGAGGGUUAGUUACACCGGUCGGACGGUGAGCGAUCGCAAUGACGACCCGAUCCGUGUGUGUAGCUAGGUAGCGGACGCUCUCGCUACGCUUACCUGGUGAUAAAUUAAAUUGAGGUAAGGUCGUGUAGUGGGUCUAUGGGACCGGCCAUCAGUGUGGAUGCAGGUACUGUGCACUGGUGACGGGACAAUAGCGGACGGAGCUGGGUGUGUGGAACAAGUUCGGUAAAUUUUGUCGUUUAGACCUUGUUCUAGAUUCUAUUUCUUGAACUUCGUAUUCCGAGACUUGUUGAUAGUUAGCCUUGUGUUAGUUUUGGUUGAGUUCUCAUUUCCUUGAAGUUCGUACCUCGUGUGUGAGAAUUCAUUUCAAGUUCUAGACGAAUGAAAUAAACUUUAGCAACUCAAGGAUUUUCACCUCAAAAAUAUUUGUAGCUUCCGCUGUGUUUAUACGAAAAGUUUUCAAACAAAAUGCCUAGCGGUUCUCUAGAAUGUAAAUCGAGCGUUCGGUUUAUGUUUUAGAGGCUCGCGGCACUGUGACGUGCUUAAGCUGGUGAGGUGCAGCUUGGGGC
Molecule: long non-coding RNA, 1346 nt
Organism: Rosa rugosa (rugosa rose)
Lineage: Eukaryota; Viridiplantae; Streptophyta; Magnoliopsida; Rosales; Rosaceae
Exons: 5
Source: RefSeq, a predicted model, not a curated record